CCUUUGCUUUUACAAGCUUCAGAGCUAAGAAGAUGGAUCUCUCUUCGGCCUAUCAGCUCAUUUUGCAGAUGGGAAAACAGGUCCAGCAGGGCCCCUUACUUGCUCCAGGACACAUGGAGAGAUGGGGCAGGAGCUUGCUUCAGGUCCCCCUGCUGGCACACAGGUGUGUGGAAUGAUCCAGAAAGUGGGCAAAUGAGUUCCUUCCCUGCCCCAUGGCUGGGGUGGUGUGUCUGUCUGGGAGGCCCUGCCCUCAUCCAGCCUCCCACCAUUCAUUUCUUCUUUAUGGUCCAGUUUACGGGAAGCUUCCUCCUCCAGGAAGCUCUCCUGAUUUGUCCUCCUUAGAACUCCUGGGGCUCUUUUCUCUGCUCCACUUUGGGGGCAGUGAUUUGUGAUUGAAAGGAACACAGGCCCAUCUCCAUUACUUACCAGCAGUGUGACUUGAGCAGGCGGGCACCUUUGUUAUCUGAGCCUUGCCUUCCUCAUCUGUAAAUGGGGCCAGUGGUCCCUGCCUCAAAAGUGAUCAUUUGGAGGAGACCCUAGCGAAGCCGGGUGGAGGGCUAGCAGGUGAGUGCCUGAAGUGGGCUGUGGAAGAAGAACACAAGGCCCCCCGCCCCUUUUUUUUGAGACUGAGUCUUGCUCUAUCACCCAGGCUGGAGUGCAGUGGCGUGAUCCUGGCUCACUGCAACCUCUGCCUCCCGGGUUCAAGUGAUUCUUGUGCCUCAGCCUCCCAAGUAGCUGGAAUCACAGGUGUGUGCCAUCAUGCCCGGCUAAGUUUUGUAUCGUUAGGAGAGAUGGGGUUUCACCAUGUUGGCCAGGCUGGUCUUGAACUCCUGACCUCAAGUGAUCCACCAGCCUCAGCCUCCCAAAGUGCUGGGAUUAUAGGCGUGGGCCAUAGUGCCUGGCCCCACUCCUCUGUUGAAAGUUCAUCUGUUUGGGGUUGAAAAAUGGGUCCAAACUGCCAGGUGGGGAAAACCCUGGGUGAGAAUCUGUUAGAACUUGCCACCUUUAUGUCCAGUGCCCCUGGGCUGGACAGAGAGGCCACGUUCUCUGCCACUGCAGCUCUGUGCGCUUCACGGAGGGGUGAGGAGGCCGGUGGGGGCAGGGUGGGAGUUGUAGCCCCUCCUCAGUGUCAGAACUGAGUUGUUCUCCUCACCUCAGGGGUGUGAACCCCAGCUUCUAAAAGCAGGAGGCCCCCAUGGCCCAUCCCACCCAGAGAGUGGCUGAAGGGCCUAGCCUGGCCUGGCCGAGACUUCUCUGUUGCCAACCUGGCCCCGAGGCCUCCAGGAAGUGAGGCUUUUAUUUUGAGCCUAGAGCAUCAGCCUGGAACCAGGACUUCGCUCUGAGCUCACUGUGAGGCGAGCGUUGGUUUCCCAGGGGACCCCACCCUGCCAAGGGAAGUGGCACAAAGCACCCCCUAAUGAGGCAGGAAGCAAAGCCAUGAGCUGCACUGCCUCAGCCCUGCACAGGGGCUGCUUGGGACAAGGCACCCGUCCCCCAGCCUCAAUUUCCUCCCUGGUCAAGUGGGAUUCAGUAACUACCAUUUGUGGCACCGGAAAAAUGGCAGCUGCCACGGGGGCCUCCAUUUUACAGAUGAGGAAACAGGCUCAGGAGGGCAAGUGACUCUGCAGCCUGUGUUAGAUAAAGAACCCGAGCCCAGGUGUCUGCUCCAGGUGGAGGCAGGGAAGGCAGCCUUCCUGGCAGCCAUGGGAUGGGGGAGGGGGUCAGCUCUGCCAUCCCCAGAGCCUUGUUCUGAGAAGCACAGAGCCCAUGUGUAAAGAGCUGAUUUCAAUUUUACCUGCAAAAUCAGAAAAAUAUGGGACUCAUGUUAGAACCUGUCUCUCAAGACUGGCGCGAGGUUGACACGAGAGAGUGUAUGGUCAGUCGGCCCUCCCUAUCCGCAGGUUCCACAUCGUGGAUUGCAGAUUGAAAAUACUCAGAUGCAGAGCCCGUGAUACAGAGGGCCGACUGUAUAAGUUCAGAAGAGGACCUGGCGUCUAAUAAAUGCACAACAAUAAUAAGGCCCCACCCCUGCCAAACCGGUGGAUCCGUGUGUUCCCCCAGCCAACUGCUGCCAUUUACUGAGGCCUGCUGCGUAUUCAGCACAUGGAUGACGCCAAAUCACAGUUUACUAAGAGGAACGUCUUGCCGUUUCCUGAAUGCGUCUCAUGCACACUGGCCUCUGCUCAUGCCCUUUCCUCUGCCUGGAACACUUUUUCCAUUGCUCUUUCGGGGAAUCUUCUUCAAGAUCCACCUCCUCUGAGAAGCCCGCCCUGACCCCUACGGUUGGACCCUGAGCUCUGGGUGUUGACCCAGAGCCCUGUGUGCUGGGUCCCUGGGAGUCGUGCCCUCUGGCCUGGAUGCUCGUUUGGGUCUUGACCCAGCCUGAUUCAUCUUCAUGAUCCCGUGGAACCUGGCACAGGAGGUGCCAGCCAAUCUCUAUUUGAUUUUUGCAAACCUUUUCUUGAUGUAUAAUUUACCUAUAGAAAAGCACAGCUAUCUUAAGUGCACACCUUGGUGGGCUUCUACAAGGUGAACACACCCAUGUGACCUCCACCCAAACUAAGAAAUCAGACCAGCACCCAGAGGCCCCUAGAGCCCCCGCCUCGCCACUGCCCCGCCCCCACUGACUUCUGCCUGUCUAUGUAGUUCUAUAAUACAUACAUCUGUAGAAUUACGUAGAAAUGAAAUUCUGCAGCGCGUGUUCUUUUGUGAGCACUUCUUUCUCCCAACGUUAUGUUUGGGAGCUUCGUCUGUGUGGUUGCGGGUAGCUAACUCAUUUUUUCCAUUGCUGUGUAUACUCCAUUGUAUGAAUCUACCACAAUGCAUUUGCCUGUUUUCCUGCAAAAUAACAUUUGGAUUGAUUCCAGCUUGGGGCUGUUACAAAUAAGGCAGCCAUGGCCACCAGGCUCCGUGCUGGGUGUCCACACACAGGCACCUGUGCUGCUCAGUUGAUCUUUCUGAAUCACUGUCUUCAAUGAUUUACUUCUCACACCCACUCCAGGAGGUGGAUGGAUUCUUCUCUCCCUUCUACAGAUGAGGAAAUGUUACAGAUGAAGUAACAUGGCCAGGCCAGGAUCCCACAGGGGAUCAGCGGCUGCACUGGGGUUCUCACUGAGGUCUGUGAGCCCCAGAGCCCAGUGGAGGGAGGAGGGGAUGAGGUGGAGGCGGCGGGUGAGGACGAGAACUGCGGAAGAGUGAAGAGGAGAGAGAAGCCAGGCUCUGGGGAGCUGCAGGCAGCCAGGCCGGGCUGCUGCGGAGUGCGUGGCCCCAGGAAUGGGGGCGUCUGGUGGUAUCUGGGCUGGCUGGAGAGGUGGUUGGGGAGAUAGUGCUCUUGGGGGGCUGGCCCCCACUGAGCCCUCAUAAGCUCUGACCAGAAGCACAGGGUGGGGAAGGGGAGCUUCCUCUUGAUGGUGACACAUCUGACUCCCUUCUCACAUCCUCCUCCCAGGCAACCCAGGGAAAUCAGGGUGGGCAGGUGAGGUUGAGGGGACUGAGCUUCAGGGAGGGGCCAUAAUAAUAAUGAUGAUGGCAGAAGUGUGAGGCUGUAGGACACAGGGUCAGGGUGGAGCAGCCCUGAGGGGGAGGGGCAAGGGAGGGCUCUGGCACUUGGGACCCAUAUGGCAAACUGCAUUGUCUGUUGGGAAGGGUUGAAGACAAGCCCGGGCCUGUCUUCUUGUGCAGCCUCUGUCCUGGGCUCGCACAUUUGGUAGGAGGAGCCAAUGAAGUAAACGGAUAGGAAAGUGUCCACACUCUGGCUGGCACGGGUGUGUGCUCACUGACGGCUGGGUCCUUUCUCUAUAACCUUUACCUCCCUGAAAAUCUCAGAUGGUGGGUCUCCGCCUGCCUGCUUCUGAGACGGUGGGUCCUGGGCCUCAGGGAGUGAGAGAGAGUGGGCCUGCUCUCCUGCAGAAGGGACUGGUCUUUGAACCCCAGAAUCGGGGGUUCUUGUGUCAUCACCACCAUCCACAUGAUAUUCCUUAUCACCAUCCUAUCCUGAUGUCCCCAUUGCCGUCACCCCCAUCACUGUCACCAACAUCACCAACAGCAUCUCUGAUCAUCACUGUCAUCACCACGCCAACUCCAACAACAUCCCAACAGCCACUCCCCGCCUCACAUGGUCACCAUGGCCAGUGCCUCCCAGGUGACACCUGGUGCACUGUUUUCACCGCAUCCCCUCUGGUACCGCCAUCCUUAUUGCCCAGCCAUGUUCAAUACUGACCCCAUUGUCCCCAUCUUCCCUGAUUUCCAUCCUCCAGCCCCUGCCCCCAUUCUUUUAGCUCAACCUGUUGCUUGCUCCUCAGAGCCACCAGGAAAAGAAACAAAUCCCCCUGCCCCUGGCCACUUCCCCAACUGGCCAGCUUGGGGAAGCUGUGUUUGUCAUUAAGAAAGAAAGGCUGCGUGCAGACGGGAAUAAGAACUGAAACCAAAGAUGGGCAGAAGAAGAGGUGAAAAGCGGGAAAGGAGAGUGGGGGUGGGAAGGGUGGCUGAGCAUGGCUGGGACCGCAGCCUGAGCCUGGCUUGGAGGCAGGAGGACAGAGCUGAUUUUGACCCUGCGACAGUUUUGGUGUGUGACCUUGGGCUGGUCGCUGUCUCUCUCUGGGCCAUAUUUCCCCGCUGGUAACAUCCUCCUCUCAGGGAAGAGACACUCCCGUGCCUUCUGAGUUUCCCUGAAGGGACUGAAACACACCUGCACCACCAGGCCUGUGGCUUUUGCACAUGAUGUCUGCUCUUUUGGAAUGCUUUCUUCUCUUCUGUGUUGGAAAACUCCUACUUGCCCCUCAAAGCCACGCUCAUGGGUUUCCUGUUGGUGAAAUUCUCCCUAAGUUUUUUAGACAGCAAUGCGCUCUCCCUCAUCAAGGACCCCAAGCCCCAUGCGUGUCCUCUGUCAUGGCUCUGAGCACACCAUUCAUGUAUCGAGUUCCCUGGAGACUGUGACACCGGCACGCCAGGGUCAGUGGCUUUUCUAGACAGAGUUUGGAGGCGGUAGGUGCUCAGAGAGUGUUUACUGAGAGUCAGUGAAUGCCCAGAGGUAGCAAAAACCACCACCCAAUUGUGCUUGUUUAUGGUGCACCUGCUGUGUGCCCGGCUCCGCGCACCACACGAUUCCAUUUGACCUCAGCAAUCCUGUGAGGCAGGUCAGUGAUUAUCCCCAUUCCUCAGAUGAGGAGCCGAGGCCCAGAGAGGUUAGUGGCUGGCUCAAGGGUGCAGAGCUCGGCUGGGGCCUGGGGCCAUCUGACCCCAGCACCCGAGCUCUUAUCUUCAUGAUCUCACCAGCAUAGAAUGAAGGGACAGUGGGUGAAAAGAUGCUGUAAUUGGGGAGCAAGUGGGUGAGGGCAUGCUGUCUGCCUGCGCAUUGUUGGGGGAGAGAAGCCUUGUACCUGUCAUGGGAUGGCUCGGGUCCCAAGGUCACAGCCCAGCUGGGCUCUCAGAGCUUGGGGAGAAGGCAGCGCUGUGUCCAGGUGGAAACCGGGGACAUGAGGGGAAGGCAAGGGCUUGGAGGCUUGGAAAUGUUGACUGUCUGCAUACUCUGUAGGUCGGCCAGGUACUUUCCAGGAACUACCAACAGCUGUUGGUUAGGGACAUGGGUGGGGCAGUGAGGGCCUUCUGAGGGGCAGGGUGCUGGCCCUGGGGUGGCUGGGGGUGGAGGACUGUGGGCAGCCUGGGUGAGAUGUCCUACAGUGUGUAGGAGCUCCACCCCACUGACCCUCCUGCGUUCUGUCAUCCCAAUGGCCCCAGGGGAAAAUGAGGGUCUCUUCUCAUUGACCAGAAUCGAAAGCUGAGGCCAGGGAGAAGCCAGAACCUGGCCAGGGCCACACAGCAGUGAGGCAGUGGAGGAGGCCUCCUGCUCCCCAGCUCUUGUCUCCUGAGCUCUGAGUGGCUGGGGCUGGGGCUUGGUUGCCAGGGAAGGGUGGGCAGAUGGCUAGAGAGAUCCUGGAGCCUCAGGGGAGCAAGUUCAACCUUGUGGGGAGCCCUGACCCCAGGAGAGAGGCAACAGGGUUCACACCCCAGCCGGGCCACGUGACACAGGACAUGUGAGUUCUCUCUCAGCCUCCAUUUCCUCAUCUGUAAAACGGGAAAAUGUUGCCUGUCUUGUAAAGUUUUGGGAGAUUGCAGUGCAAGCCUGUGCGUGCAGGUCUGAGCACACAGUAGGUGCUGAAUAAAUGUGAGUUCCUCUCCAUCCUAUGUCCUAGAGAGCCACAUGGGUGCCUGGAGAGCCGAGCUUCCUCCCUUUCUCCUGGGUCAGGGCCUGGCAUCUUCGUGGAAGGUCGGGGCCCCUCAGAGUCUAAGUCAGGCUCUGAGGUUGCCUCGCUCUGUGACUGUGGGCUGGUCCCCUGCCCUCUAUGAGUCUCGUGAGCCAUCCGGCAAUGGGGACAAAGUCCUCCCUCGUCCCCUGCCGCAGGGUUGUUGAGAAAAGGUGAAAUGGGGGAGGGUGAGCCUGGGUUUUAAAUGCAGGUGGUUUUCACAAAAGUAGAAAUACCUCUGGUGCCUGGUGCUGGGGCUGAGGGGAGGGAGGGGGGACUGCAGAGGGAGAGGGGAUGGGGGCGCCUCUCUGCCUCCACUGAGGCACUGAGGGGAAGGGUUAGGCCUUAGGCAGAGCCCGGGUGGCUGGAAGAUGCCGGGCAGCGGAGGGAAUUGGCCAAGAUUUGAACCCUAGCCCUGCAUAUGACCAGCUGGGAGGCCUUGGGCAAGGCCCUGGACCUCUCUGAGCUGCACUUUCUUCGUCUGUGAAAUGGGAAGGAAAGUAUUAAGAAUAGUCCCUUUUCUGGGUAGUGGGGAAGAUCAUGUGGCAUGGAGUUAGGCUGUACAAAUGUCCCCUUCUUCCCCUGGGGUGAUUGGAGGGGUUACAGGGCAGUAAGGGAUGCUUGGAGGAGAACAGAGGAGUUGUAGGGGGAGUUGAGGAUUAGUAGAGGUCUCUAAAGUCGGGUAAUGUCCAAGGUGACCUCAUGGCCUCAGGAGGACAAUAUUAAAAUUUCUAAAUUUUUCCAUCAUAUAAUUUUUUAAUUUCUGGAAAUUUUUUAGUAGCUGUUUUAUGAUGUUCAUGAUAAACUAGGACAGCAACACAUGCGUGUAAUUUAGAAAGAAAGAAAAAUAGAGGCGUGUGUGCAAAAGGUUUUACUGACAUAGAUGCAUGAUCAAAAUAUCUAAGUCCUCUCCGGGGUUCAGGCUAGCAGGGCUCUGAGGCAUUUUGGGGGUCAGGGGAAUGGGAAGGCAUCAGAACAGCACUGGGAGACUUGGGCUCCUCCCUCAACUUGCUGUGUGUCCUUGGGCAAGCCACCUAAUCUCUCUGAGUUUAUAAAACAAGCAGAGGAAGCUUAUAAAACAAGUACAUGCAGGCUCCUUCUAGCAAGGGGAGGUUGAGAUGAUCUGAUUCUAGGCUUUGUUCCAGAUCUCAGAUAAUCCUGGAAUCUUGAGACUUUGAAAGUCUUCUCAUUUCACAGCUGGCAGAUGCUCAUGGUCCUUCUCUAAGCCCAGCUGUGACUCAUCUGUGAUCUGCUUACAUACUCCCAGGAACAGGGAGCUCACCACUUCACAGGACACCCCGUUCUGUGCUGGACGGAGCUGUCAUCUGCCUCCCUUUCUCUUUCUCUCGUUCAAGGUGAAACUGAGAGGAGAGGGGCUGCGGCCUGGCCUUUAGGGGCUGAGGAAGGAGUUUUUUUCUCUCAGGGCUGUUUCCUGUGAGUGUCAGCCACAGCCCUCACCACACCUGCCUUCUUUUUGGGGUGUUCUCAACUUUCCUGAUGAGACAAAGCCUUUCCAGCUCACUCUUUAGCAGGUAGAGGGGGCAGUUAGAGCAUGCACCGUGCUCCUGGUACUACUGCCGAACCACGUAAGCUUGCCCCAGCCAAAAGCAGAUUCUGUUUGCUGGGCACCCCCUGCCAGUCCCUGAGCUCAGUGCUUUGCAAAUAUAAUGCAAUUUAAUCUUCACUAAAUCCAGUGAUUGCAAUUUUCCAGAUGAGGAAACUCAGAGAGGUUAAGAGACUUGCCCAAGGUCACACAGUGACCUGGAUUCAAAAUCCUCUUGAUCUGAUUCUGGAGCCCAGCUCUUCAUCACUCUUCCGUUCAGUCCCUUUCCACGCCCCUAAACAGGAUGUAAUGUGGCAGGAAGACAAGUUGAGACCUGUGUCUGAGCUAAAAAAAAAAAAAAAAAAAAAACCCACA
Long non-coding RNA from Homo sapiens (human), 8160 nucleotides. RefSeq lists it as uncharacterized. The transcript is spliced from 2 exons. The record is from RefSeq and is a predicted model, not a curated record. NCBI's taxonomy places the organism in Eukaryota, Metazoa, Chordata, Mammalia, Primates, Hominidae.